GUUUUAAUAGUUUAAACAAAACAUUGGUCUUGUAAAUCAAAGUUAAGGGACACCCUUUUAGAACUU
This 66-nucleotide transfer RNA is filed under the name Lednia tumana. Its description in RNAcentral is "tRNA-Thr". It matches the Rfam family "tRNA". Rfam says of the family: Transfer RNA (tRNA) molecules are approximately 80 nucleotides in length. Their secondary structure includes four short double-helical elements and three loops (D, anti-codon, and T loops). Further hydrogen bonds mediate the characteristic L-shaped molecular structure. tRNAs have two regions of fundamental functional importance: the anti-codon, which is responsible for specific mRNA codon recognition, and the 3' end, to which the tRNAs corresponding amino acid is attached (by aminoacyl-tRNA synthetases). tRNAs cope with the degeneracy of the genetic code in two manners: having more than one tRNA (with a specific anti-codon) for a particular amino acid; and 'wobble' base-pairing, i.e. permitting non-standard base-pairing at the 3rd anti-codon position. The record is from RNAcentral. Lineage: Eukaryota; Metazoa; Arthropoda; Insecta; Plecoptera; Nemouridae.